AUGAAAUGACUCUCGGCAACGGAUAUCUCGGCUCUUGCAUCGAUGAAGAACGUAGCGAAAUGCGAUACUUGGUGUGAAUUGCAGAAUCCCGUGAACCAUCGAGUCUUUGAACGCAAGUUGCGCCCGAAGCCAUUAGGUUGAGGGCACGCCUGCCUGGGUGUCACAU
Molecule: ribosomal RNA, 166 nt
Filed under: Vigna luteola
Lineage: Eukaryota; Viridiplantae; Streptophyta; Magnoliopsida; Fabales; Fabaceae
Also listed under: 6 other names
Description: 5.8S ribosomal RNA
Rfam family: 5.8S ribosomal RNA
About the family: 5.8S ribosomal RNA (5.8S rRNA) is a component of the large subunit of the eukaryotic ribosome.
Source: RNAcentral